CUCGCAACCCGCACGCACGCACACGAGACACGACGACCAUAGAGUAGAGGCCAAUCUGCAGACUGCAGUGCACACACGCAGCCUCGUCUCCUCCGUUGGCAGCGGCAGCAGCAAGAGAAGAGGCGGCCGCCCCUCCCAGCCCCCAAAGAGCGAGUGAAGAGAAGAAGCAGAGCCGAAAUGAGGCGCCCCCUCCCCCUACUCCUCUCCUGACAAACCUCUCCCCCCUCCCCUCCCCUUGGUUCGUCCGCCCGUCUCGGACUCCACGGCCGCCCCGCCCCGCCCCGCCGCCCCACCGGUGCAGGGGAGGAUGGAUUUGUCCAGGUUCGCGUCUCCGCGCCCCCCGGGCCUGCAGAUCGGCGCCGCCGCCUCCCUCCGGGGGGCCUGCUCGCUGCGCCGACCCCGGCACAGAGGCGGAGUCCACGGCGGCCGGGGCGGGAACCUCAUGGUCGCCUCGGCCCUCCGCGGCUCAAGCAGCGGCCUCUUCUACGCCGCCCCGAACCACGCCCGUCUCCGGCUCACACGGACCGGGUCGGCGGGCUGCCAGGGCAACGACUCGCUGGCCUACGUGGACGGCCCGCUGGAGGGCACCAAGGGCAGCAGCAGCAGCUCCAGCGAGGGCAGCGACGAGGCGGCGGGGUCCGACGGCGAGGAGAGAGCCCGCAGUGCCGCUGCCGUCGACGUGGACGAUCUCAGGGACCUGCUGCACAAGGCCAGGAAGGAGCUGGAGGUGGCCAGGCUCAACAGCACCAUGUUCGAGGGCAAGGCGCAGCGCAUAUCCGAGUCGGCCAUCGCGCUCAAGGACCGUGCCGACAGCGCGCAGACCGAGGUGUCCGCCGCCGUGGCCACCGUGCAGGAGAUCAUCAGCAAGGAGGACGACGCCAAGGAGGCCGUCCGCAAGGCCACCAUGGCGCUCUCCAUGGCCGAGGCCCGGCUGCAGCUCGCCGCUGAGGCGCUGGACGCCAAGAGGGGCUCGGUCGGCCAGCUGGAGGUCAGCCUCGACGACGUCGAGGAGGAGGCGCUCGCGUCCGCCCAGGAGGAGAUCAAGGGGUGCCAGGCCAGCCUGUCAAAGUGCGAGGAGGAGCUCGGGCGGGUCCAGGGGAAGAAGAUGGAGCUGCAGAAGGAGGUCGACAGGCUGACCGAGCUCGCCGAGAGGGCUCUCCUGGACGCCUCCAAGGCCGAGGAGGAUGUUUCCAAUAUAAUGGUGUUGGCUGAGCAGGCCGUGGCUCUUGAGAUGGAAGCAGCCAAGCGCGUGAACGACGCGGAGCUGGCGUUACAGAAGGCGGAGAAGGCGGUCGAGUCCGUUGUGGAGCUGGUGCCGGCUGCUGAUGGGCACAUGAGUGACGAAGAGGACGAUCUUUCUGAUGUUUAUGACUAUAGCGGUGACGGCAUGGCUGACAUUUCUGAAAGGGAUGAGGUGUCAAAUGUCGAGCGUUUGAUGCAGAUUAGCGACUUGGCUGCUGAAGGCAUCGAGCCACUUGAACCGUCUAAUGAAAUGCCUGUUGAAGAACGCGGUGACAAGUUGCUUGUUGAGCCUCAGAAAGAAGCUGAACCUGACGUAGAUAAGUCAAAGCAAGGGAAGAAGCAGGAGUCUUCCAAAUCAUCGUUGAAGAGGUCAUCUCGUUUUUUCUCGGCGUCUUUCUUCUCCUCCAAAUCGGAUGGAGAAUUUACACCUACAUCUGUAUUCCGAGGGCUAAUGAAAUCAGCAAGAAAACAAGCACCAGCUCUUGUUGCCGGGAUACUGCUUCUUGGCGCAGGGGCAUUCUUCUUCAAUAGAGCUGAGAAGAAUAGUCAAUUGUUUCAGCAGCCAGGCAUAACCACCACAAGUAUUGAAGAAGUUACCUCCACUGCAAAGCCCAUAGUUCGCGAGAUUCGGCAGUUACCACAAAGAAUAAAAAAGCUAAUCGAGCUCUUACCUCAUCAAGAGGUAAAUGAGGAAGAAGCUUCGCUUUUUGACGUACUAUAUUUGCUGCUGGCCAGUGUUGUUUUUGUACCAUUAUUCCAGAAAAUACCUGGAGGUAGUCCUGUUCUUGGAUAUCUUGCUGCUGGUGUCCUCAUUGGUCCCUAUGGUCUUUCUAUCAUCCGCAAUGUCCAUGGAACAAAGGCAAUUGCUGAAUUUGGAGUCGUGUUCUUGUUAUUUAACAUUGGCCUUGAGCUUUCUGUGGAAAGGUUAAGUUCGAUGAAGAAGUAUGUCUUUGGAUUAGGCUCUGCUCAGGUGUUGGUUACUACAGCAGUUGUUGGUCUGGCAGCUCACCGUUUUGCAGCACUACCAGGACCAGCGGCAAUUGUUGUUGGGAGUGGUUUGGCUCUAUCAUCCACAGCUGUCGUCUUGCAAGUACUACAAGAACGUGGGGAGAGCACAUCACGGCAUGGACGCGCCACAUUUUCUGUGCUACUUUUCCAGGAUCUGGCCGUGGUGGUUCUGUUGAUAUUGAUCCCACUCAUAUCACCUAAUUCUUCAAAAGGAGGGGUUGGGUUCCAAGCAAUAUUGGAAGCUAUGGGAAUGGCUGCGGUAAAGGCAAUAGCUGCUAUAACUGCCAUCAUUGCUGGAGGUCGUUUGUUCCUUCGGCCAAUUUACAGGCAAAUUGCUGAAAAUCGGAAUGCUGAGAUAUUUUCAGCAAAUACUCUCCUUGUUAUAUUUGGGACAAGUCUUCUUACUGCUCGGGCUGGCUUAUCGAUGGCACUGGGAGCAUUUUUGGCUGGUUUGUUGUUAGCAGAAACAGAGUUCUCCUUGCAGGUUGAGUCGGAUAUUGCUCCUUACCGUGGCCUUCUGUUAGGUCUAUUCUUUAUGACGGUUGGAAUGUCUAUUGACCCAAAGCUGUUUCUGUCAAACUUCCCAGCAGUCUCUUUGAUAUUAGGUCUCUUAAUUAUUGGAAAGACACUGUUAGUAACAUUUAUUGGUAGAGUGUUUGGAGUUUCCACCAUAGCUGCUGUUCGGGUUGGUCUUUUGCUUGCACCUGGUGGGGAGUUUGCUUUUGUUGCCUUUGGAGAAGCCGUUAACCAGGGUCUUCUAUCGCCUCAAUUAUCGUCAUUAUUAUUUUUGGUGGUUGGCCUUUCAAUGGCUAUGACACCAUAUUUAGCUGCUGGAGGGCAGUUUCUAGCAUCAAAAUUUGAGCAGCAUGAUGUCAGGAGUUUAUUGCCAGUGGAAAGUGAGACGGAUGACUUGCAAGGCCAUAUUAUUAUUUUGGGAUUUGGACGUGUUGGGCAGAUCAUCGCCCAACUCCUGUCAGAACGGUUAAUUCCAUUUGUUGCGCUUGAUGUUCGAAGUGAUCGGGUGGCAGUUGGGCGCGCACUUGAUCUACCAGUAUAUUUCGGUGAUGCAGGAAGCAGAGAGGUACUGCACAAAGUUGGAGCUGAGAGGGCAUGUGCUGCUGCCAUUACUUUAGAUACUCCUGGUGCAAACUAUAGAGCUGUAUGGGCUCUGAGCAAAUACUUCCCAAAUGUGAAGACAUUUGUCAGAGCACAUGAUGUUGAUCAUGGUGUUAAUUUGGAGAAAGCUGGUGCAUCAGCGGUUGUCCCUGAGACCUUAGAACCAAGUCUUCAAUUGGCUGCUGCUGUUCUUGCUCAAGCAAAACUUCCAAUGUCCGAGAUUGCAACAACGAUCAACGAGUUCAGGAAUCGUCAUUUGUCAGAGCUAACGGAGCUUUGUUCUACAAGUGGGAGCUCCCUAGGCUACGGCUUCUCUCGAGUCAUGUCGAAAACGAAGCCUGUGGUCUCUGACGACGAGAGCGACACCAUUGAUGGAGCCCUGGCGAUCUGAGCCCACUACGCGAACGUAAAAGGCUCCGCCUCCCUUGUCCUCCUCCCAGGGCUGUACAGUAGAUGUGUUCGCGUAUAGAAAGUACAACAGAUCCGGGACAUACCUGUUGGGUGCUGCCUUGGCCUGGUGGUCGAGGAUGGAGAAGUGGAAAGCACUAGCACCAGCAGCACAACAAGGACCAUAGAGGGAUGCAACUGAGCUAGUUCGAUGCCAAGCUCGACGAGGAACUUCUCCGCGAAGGGGCGCAUAGGAAUGCAGGCAAACACUCAAUGGAGUCCGGGUGCCGCUCUCCCGAGAAGUGACGCUCUUCUUCUUUUUUUUUUUUUUUUUUUGAGGGAAAGAAGUGACGCUCUUCUGGGUCAAGGAGGACCCCCGUACCAGUAGGGAAGCAUCCCAUGGGCUUUAGAGGGCUGAGGUCGUUGGCAUCCAUAGAGGACGGAUUAAGGUCACUCUCCGGCUCAUCCAUCC
RNAcentral lists this ribosomal RNA (4225 nucleotides) under Triticum aestivum (bread wheat). RNAcentral describes it as "partial small subunit ribosomal RNA". The record is from RNAcentral. Lineage: Eukaryota; Viridiplantae; Streptophyta; Magnoliopsida; Poales; Poaceae.